Molecule: long non-coding RNA, 762 nt
Organism: Equus asinus (donkey)
Lineage: Eukaryota; Metazoa; Chordata; Mammalia; Perissodactyla; Equidae
Source: Ensembl
GCCAGCUCCCUCUGCUUCUCGUUAGGACUUGUCACCUCCCCCGCCCGGCCCCUCCCUGUUGGGCAGCAGCACUCCUCACCGUCCUCCUGGGACCAUCACGGCCCAGAAAGUCCUGUCAGCUCAGCAGGGUCAAGCCAGGGAAGCUGCGCCUUCCAGAAAGGAGGGGGAAGAGGCCGAGCCUGGACUCUGGACCCGUGAGCCAGGCCCGAGCUGAGCCGCAGAUGCUGUCCAGCCACCUGAACCAGGUGGCCUGCGAGCCUUCCAUCUGUGAGCAGAGACCGGGUCAGAAGUCUCUCCUGCAGGCAGGCCUGCCCGCUGCACUGCAUGUUCAAGACCAGCUGUGACCAUCCUCGGAGCUUCAUGGGAAGCGCGCGCCGGAACCACUUUCCUCAGAGGAGCUGUGUGGACCUCCUCCUCGGCCUGCCUGUCGCACAUCCUUACAGCCCUCAGGGACAGAUAUUAUUAUCCCCAUCUUACAGGAGGACGGACGUGCCCCCGGCCCCGGUUACCGGAGCGUCAGGCUGAAGACCAGGCAGCUCGCGGCCUCGGCCCACAGCUUGUGCCGGUCAGGGAUCCGCAAAGGACUGCUCCUGUCGCUAUCAAACCCAGACCCCAAUUCCGCACCAACUGAGGGAAAAACCGACCGAUCUCCUUGUUUCAUCUACAUAAAGGCUGUGCCCACGUGCCCAGUGGGCGAUUUUUUUUCACUUUUUAAAACUGGGGUAAAAUACACAUAAGAUAAAAUUUACCACCUUAACUGUA